AGCCUUUGGAGAGGAUUAAAGGUUAUACCUGCCCAAUGUUAUAUUAAUGGCCGCGGUACUUUGACCGUGCUAAGGUAGCACAAUCAAUUGGCCCUUAAUUAGGGUCAGGUAUGAAUGGAGUUACGGGGCUUAGCUGUCUCUAGACUAUUUAAUUGAAGUUGCUAUAUAGGUGAAAAAGCCUGUAUUAAGAAAAAAGACGAGAAGACCCUUAGAGUUUUACUUAAAAAGAGUUAUUUCUUCACUAGUUUUGUUGGGGCAACAUAGGAGAAGAACUAAACCUCCUAAAGGAUAUAAACCGAUGUUUUUAAAUGUGAAUAAACUACCUUAGGGAUAACAGCAUAAUUUUAAAAAUAAGUUUGUGACCUCGAUGUUGGACUAGGAAACUUAAGGGCUAGCCGCCUUUUGGUAAGGUUCUGUUCGAACUAUAAUUCCU
Molecule: ribosomal RNA, 433 nt
Filed under: Chromodoris magnifica
Lineage: Eukaryota; Metazoa; Mollusca; Gastropoda; Nudibranchia; Chromodorididae
Description: partial 16S ribosomal RNA
Rfam family: Bacterial large subunit ribosomal RNA
Source: RNAcentral